This 460-nucleotide long non-coding RNA is filed under the name Homo sapiens (human). Its description in RNAcentral is "HSALNT0138851". The record is from RNAcentral. Lineage: Eukaryota; Metazoa; Chordata; Mammalia; Primates; Hominidae.
CCUUCCUAAAAUUUUCCAUUUCACAAACAUUAGUAUUGCAAGCAUGUUCACCAGUGAGCCUCUGGCCUGCUUUUGAAGAAUUACUGAACAAAAUGACUGAGGUCAAUAUAGGGCUUCUCAGAGGCUCUGCUAAUUCAUAUGUUCUAGGACGCUGAUCCCUUCAGACUAAAUGAAAAGCCACUGCUUUCUAAUGCCCGCUGUAUGUGGGGGAAGUGAAGAUGAAUAAGAAAAUAGGGUAGGCACAUCAGCAGAUCUCAUCCACCUCAGCCACCCUGAACUCUGAUCUCUGUCUCUUGACUUCAACUCAUUGAGACCACUCUGCUCUGCGAUGGAUUUCCCUGACUACAUCGUGGGUGACCAGGUUGGACUGAUCCUCCAGGCAAAAAGCUGGGGUGAUUGAGGACUCACAGCACUUGAAAGGAACACUUUCCCACUUUUGCAUUUCCUGCUCUCCAAUGUC